Molecule: transfer RNA, 84 nt
Filed under: Nanobdellota archaeon
Lineage: Archaea; Nanobdellati; Nanobdellota
Description: Nanoarchaeota archaeon tRNA-Ser
Rfam family: tRNA
About the family: Transfer RNA (tRNA) molecules are approximately 80 nucleotides in length. Their secondary structure includes four short double-helical elements and three loops (D, anti-codon, and T loops).
Source: RNAcentral
GCCGCAGUCGCAUAAUCUGGUAUUGCGCUAGCCUUGAGAGCUGGUUUCCGAAAGGAUAUCUCGGUUCAAAUCCGAGCUGCGGCG